Molecule: ribosomal RNA, 239 nt
Filed under: uncultured eukaryote
Lineage: Eukaryota
Description: partial 18S ribosomal RNA
Rfam family: Eukaryotic small subunit ribosomal RNA
Source: RNAcentral
CGUAGUUGGAUUUCUGUUACUGGAGGGGUGGUCCGCCUCACGGCGAGCACUGCUAUCCUCUGUGACAUCCUCUCAAAGUUUUUAGCGGGUGCACUUAGUUGUGUGGCUGGUGAAUUUGGGAUCUUUACUUUGAAAAAAUUAGAGUGUUCAAAGCGGGGCGUUUGCUUGAAUACAUUAGCAUGGAAUAAUGGAAUAGGACUUUGGUUCUAUUUUGUUGGUUUUGAGGACCAGAGUAAUGA